GCUAGGGGGGGUGCGAAGGCGAGAGAAAGAGAGCGAGGAAAAAUGGAAGGGGCGAGAAGAAAAUAGCUAUUUCUUUCUCGCCCUUCCCAUUUUUCCUCGCUCUCUUUCUCUCGCCUUCCCAUCCCCCCCCCUA
Molecule: non-coding RNA, 133 nt
Organism: Paramuricea clavata
Lineage: Eukaryota; Metazoa; Cnidaria; Anthozoa; Malacalcyonacea; Plexauridae
Source: the annotation of a GenBank genome assembly